AUUGAACGCUGGCGGCAUGCCUUACACAUGCAAGUCGAACGGCAGCACGGGGCAACCUGGUGGCGAGUGGCGAACGGGUGAGUAAUGCAUCGGAACGUACCUUUCAGUGGGGGAUAACGUAGCGAAAGUUACGCUAAUACCGCAUAUUCUGUGAGCAGGAAAGCAGGGGAUCGCAAGACCUUGCGCUGAUUGAGCGGCCGGUGUCAGAUUAGCUAGUUGGUGAGGUAAAGGCUCACCAAGGCGACGAUCUGUAGCGGGUCUGAGAGGAUGAUCCGCCGCACUGGAACUGAGACACGGUCCAGACUCCGACGGGAGGCAGCAGUGGGGAAUUUUGGACAAUGGGGGCAACCCUGAUCCAGCCAUGCCGCGUGAGUGAAGAAGGCCUUCGGGUUGUAAAGCUCUUUCGGCCGGGAAGAAAUCGCACGGGCUAAUACCCUGUGUGGAUGACGGUACCGGAAUAAGAAGCACCGGCUAACUACGUGCCAGCCGCCGCAGUAA
RNAcentral lists this ribosomal RNA (498 nucleotides) under uncultured bacterium. RNAcentral describes it as "partial 16S ribosomal RNA". It matches the Rfam family "Bacterial small subunit ribosomal RNA", at positions 30 to 523 of the family's 1533-position model. The record is from RNAcentral.